Molecule: ribosomal RNA, 229 nt
Filed under: uncultured bacterium
Lineage: Bacteria
Description: partial 16S ribosomal RNA
Rfam family: Bacterial small subunit ribosomal RNA
Source: RNAcentral
CGUGUAGGCGGCUAGGUAGGUCGGAUGUGAAAGUCCCGGGCUCAACCCGGGAAGUGCAUUCGAAACCGCUUGGCUAGAGUAAGAGAGAGGAAAGUGGAAUUCCUGGUGUAGAGGUGAAAUUCGUAGAUAUCAGGAGGAACACCGGUGGCGAAGGCGACUUUCUGGCUCUAUACUGACGCUGAGACGCGAAAGCGUGGGUAGCAAACAGGAUUAGAUACCCUGGUAGUCC